This is a long non-coding RNA of Triticum dicoccoides, 908 nucleotides long. RefSeq lists it as uncharacterized. The transcript has 2 exons. Lineage: Eukaryota; Viridiplantae; Streptophyta; Magnoliopsida; Poales; Poaceae. The record is from RefSeq and is a predicted model, not a curated record.
CGCGUUCCCUUCCUCACGAAACAACCUUCCCCUCUUCUCUCCUCGUUUCCUCUUCUCCGGGCGGACCUAGGGUUGCCGCCGCUGCCGCCGUCUGCACAUCCCAGGCUCCCAGCUCCCCCGGCGCCCGCUCCUCCGUCGAGAGGACAGGAACAUGGUGGCAGCGGCCGGUGGAGAGGGGGCAUCCGGGUCAACAAGACGUUGCGGUACGAGGUGAAUCGGCGGCAAGCCCGGCGCCAACGCUACGCGCCGCCUCUCCGACUCCUCACUCCGUCCUCGUCCACGGUGGCCGCCGCCACCCUCACCUGCGCUCAUGCCCUCUUCAUCUCCGGCCGCGAGCUCCACCCUGUCCAGCCUCAUCUCCCCAGAUCUUCUUGGUUUUGGUCCGGGAGCAUACGGGUGCGGAUCAAAGCGUUGAUGGACAGGUUCGUGAAGGAGCUGCAGAAGGCGCUGGACGUGGACAUCCAGGAUCGCAUCAUGAAGGAGCGGGAGAUGCCAGCUACAUCAGGAGCGCAAACGCGAGGUCGCCGAGAGGGAGGCCGUUUGGAAGGCUGAGCUCUCCCACCGCGAGAUGGCAACUUCUUUGGGGUUGUGUCAGCAAGCUUUAUUCAACUUCUUUGGAAUGUCGUAGGAUAAUUGCCAUGAUUUAGCUUUAGAUUCCCACAUGUUUCUUGAUCUGAGUGUAUGCUCAUGUGGUAGUUAAUUAUUUGGUUCCAUGACGAGGAAUAUGGAGAUCAAGUUGCACACUAUCAAGAGGCCUUCUCCAGAGGUAUUCUACAAGUUAUCAGAAUAGAUUCUCUUCAUUCCCUGUACCUUGCAGCAUCUCCAUCUAAGGCCGGAGUUCUGCACCUACCUACCUGUUGGUGUAAUAAAUUCCAACUAUGAAACUAAGCAUCAAUUUAUGUCCUACA